RNAcentral lists this ribosomal RNA (590 nucleotides) under uncultured bacterium. Its description in RNAcentral is "partial 16S ribosomal RNA". It matches the Rfam family "Bacterial small subunit ribosomal RNA", at positions 355 to 941 of the family's 1533-position model. The record is from RNAcentral.
UAGGGAAUCUUCCACAAUGGACGAAAGUCUGAUGGAGCAACGCCGCGUGAGUGAAGAAGGUUCUCGGAUCGUAAAACUCUGUUGUGAGGGAAGAACAAGUACCGGAGUAACUGCCGGUACCUUGACGGUACCUCAUUAGAAAGCCACGGCUAACUACGUGCCAGCAGCCGCGGUAAUACGUAGGUGGCAAGCGUUGUCCGGAAUCAUUGGGCGUAAAGCGCGCGCAGGCGGUCCCUUAAGUCUGAUGUGAAAGCCCACGGCUCAACCGUGGAGGGUCAUUGGAAACUGGGGGACUUGAGUGCAGAAGAGGAAAGCGGAAUUCCAAGUGUAGCGGUGAAAUGCGUAGAGAUUUGGAGGAACACCAGUGGCGAAGGCGGCUUUCUGGUCUGUAACUGACGCUGAGGCGCGAAAGCGUGGGGAGCAAACAGGAUUAGAUACCCUGGUAGUCCACGCCGUAAACGAUGAGUGCUAAGUGUUAGGGGGUUUCCGCCCCUUAGUGCUGCAGCUAACGCAUUAAGCACUCCGCCUGGGGAGUACGGUCGCAAGACUGAAACUUGAAAUGAAUUGACGGGGGUCAUAGCUGUUUCCUG